Non-coding RNA from Coturnix japonica (Japanese quail), 422 nucleotides. Lineage: Eukaryota; Metazoa; Chordata; Aves; Galliformes; Phasianidae. The record is from RefSeq and is a predicted model, not a curated record.
UGGGGUAGAGCCAGGAGUAGCAGCAUGAACACACCCUGCAUGUAUAAAACCUGCCAGUAGGAACCCUCUCCCCCACUGUUGUUUAUCAGAGGGAGGCAGUUUAAGGGAAGACUGGAAACAGGUCUCAGUAAGGCAUCACAGGCAACCAUCAUCCUGACCUACUUUGGUUCCCCAGAUGAGGGGUCUUGAGCACAAGCCUUGAGAGGAGCUCUGAGGGAGCUGGUAUUGUUCCAUCUGGAGAAGAGAAGGAUCGGGGGUGAUCUCUACAACUACCUGAAGGGAGGUUGAGGAAAGAAAAAUAGGAUCAAUAUGCCAUAGUCUCUUCCCCCUGCAGUGAGCAUUUGCAUGGAUAAUACCUAUGAAUUCUAAUGUGAGCUACACAUUGUGUGAAACAAUGUCGCUAUUUAAAAAAAUGCAUCUGA